GCUCCGUAGGUGAACCUGCGGAGGGAUCAUUACAGAGUUCAUGCCCUACCGGGUAGAUCUCCCACCCUAUGUUAUUAUUACUUUGUUGCUUUGGCGGGCCGUUAGGCUCCGGCCCGACUACCGGCCCCGGCUGGUAAGCGCCCGCCAGAGGACCCAAAACCCUGAAUAUUAGUGUCGUCUGAGUACUAUAUAAUAGUUAAAACUCUCAACAACGGAUCUCUUGGUUCUG
Molecule: unclassified non-coding RNA, 229 nt
Filed under: plant metagenome
Description: partial contains small subunit ribosomal RNA, internal transcribed spacer 1, and 5.8S ribosomal RNA
Source: RNAcentral